Molecule: long non-coding RNA, 647 nt
Organism: Pseudophryne corroboree (corroboree frog)
Lineage: Eukaryota; Metazoa; Chordata; Amphibia; Anura; Myobatrachidae
Exons: 3
Source: RefSeq, a predicted model, not a curated record
AUCUACUUGCAAUGCUAUGCAGAGCCCCAGAAAACAUGAAUUGUAUGUAGUUCUGAGGACUGAGUUUGAGAACUUUUGCUACAGAUGUGAUAAUGACAGAACUACACUUGAAGUGAUGUACAGUAUACGGACACCCCCAGGGGCAAAACUCUGGGAGGCAGUGGAGUCGGCUGCCGCCGGGCUCCUGCCCUCAAGGGGGCACAUCUCCUCCAUUGUCUCCAGCUGACUGACCCUGGCGAUCAUUUGCUGCAAGGAGCUUUCGAGUCAGUGACACAGAAGGUGUGAUGAGGUCAAUAUUUUUCCAAUUAGGCCACACUGACUGUUCAUCAGAAAGCCUCGGUGUUAUAUUGAAGUUUCCAUCAUGCAUGUAUGAACAAGUUUUGUCGCAUUAUACUGUUUGUAUAAACUACUGUACUUCUCAGCUGCUUGAGAGAUACCCCUGAUGAAGUCUUUUGUAUAAGACGAAACGCGUUGGGUUGUCUGUGUUGUGAAGCUAUCUCCGAACCAACUAUAAGGAGAAGGAAGAGAUUGUUGUGAUCCUUCAACAUUUGUAUUCAGCGCUAAGAGUCAUACAUCUUAAAGUGUGGAAUAAUAUAUCUCCUGUGUAUUAAUUUGAAUAUGUUUUUAAUAAAUGUUUUAUGAUGGAA